GGGAUGGGGCCCCCAGCGUCUCGUCCGCCCCGCGCCUCAGGCAGAGCGAGGGACAGAGACUUUAUGGCUUUCUGAGACAGCUGGAUCAAGAAAGGGUCCAUAUGCAGAAGGGCAGGCUGGCAGUGUCCUGGGGAGAGACCCCUACCUUUUGAGCAUCACUAGCAACCUACUGGGAGACCAGGAUCCUGGAGAAGUCAAGAUCAGCCCCAAAGUCCCUCAUCAAUUGUGAUGGAGGGAACAGAGGGAAGUCCCAAUUGCAACCUGCACCCAUCGCUGUGCAUGCCCAUGUUGUGUGUGUACAUUAUUUACCUACUAUGAGCACGGCCUCAUUAGAACAACCUCAGGGGAGGGGAGCAGGACUCCCCACUUUACAGAUGAGAAAAAUAAGGCUCUGAGAGGUAAAAAAGGACUCGCUCAAAGUCAGCAGCAGAGCCAAAUACCAAGGUUUAUCAUCUUGUUAGUGUCUCCCCAACCGCCCCCCGACCUGUUAACACAGCCAUCAUUCCUACAUCGCAGGGAGAAAAAUUGUUAACAAGACGGCUGGAACCUCAAGCCACAGGAGCUGUGGGCCCAGAGAAGGCAGGGCCAUUCCUCUUAAGUGUAAAAGCCGUGGGGUGAGGGCAUGCGGGAAGGGAGUGAGAGCUAUAGUUUGCUGGAAAUCUGAAGAACCAAAUGACCUUGGGCCUCCAAACAUGAGACAAAACAGAGUUCAGGGGUAAGCGCUCCUCCCCAUCCCUUCUAGUGUCCCUCGGAUGCAGAUCUGGCUCAAUUUCCAGGUAUCUGUGAAAGGAAGGGUUCC
This 799-nucleotide long non-coding RNA is filed under the name Homo sapiens (human). RNAcentral describes it as "HSALNT0164136". Lineage: Eukaryota; Metazoa; Chordata; Mammalia; Primates; Hominidae. The record is from RNAcentral.